This is a long non-coding RNA of Cygnus olor (mute swan), 5284 nucleotides long. RefSeq lists it as uncharacterized. NCBI's taxonomy places the organism in Eukaryota, Metazoa, Chordata, Aves, Anseriformes, Anatidae. The transcript has 2 exons. The record is from RefSeq and is a predicted model, not a curated record.
CGGAUACAAAAGAAACAAACACAGUGUAGAUUUUUAAAGAUCGUUUUAAUGAGAUGUAAAUUACCUCACUGUACACAGCUGAAGCCCUUUGUUCUCCAGCCGAGAUUCACUUAAGGAAGCAGACAGUGUUUCUUUGUGGUUCCUCCCGAAGGGUGAAAAGCUUUAGUCUCUCCUCAAGCCUCAGAAGCAGCUUUGCUGUCAUGAGCAUCACGCUCUUCAGUGCUUCAUUCGCACAGCAGUCGGCUGGAAAGUUUGCCAGCACAGCUACAGUGGAAGAGCUCGUAAAGCCUCCUAGACAGGAUCAAAUUUAGAUCACUAUGAUAUAUUGCUAUAUAUUGCUUAUAUCAAAACAGCAAUGGAUUUUUUUUUCUUGAAACUACAUCUACAGAUUUUUGCCAGCAAACGUAUUGAUUGUUGAAUGUUGUUAUAAUCCUGGUGUUGCCAAGUCAGCAAAACCUUUAAAUAUAAACCAUGCCUCUAGCCCCUGCCAGUCAGAUCACUCCUUGUCCAGGUUAUGCAGGACUUAUGCAGCUUCUCACACUUUUAUUCACGUUUAGAGUUGUACCUUGGUGACCUCUGACCAACUAACCAUGAUCUUUUUAUAACUGGAUUAUCUCCUCUUUAGAGCUAAGCGUUCCGGUUGGUCUGGAUGCAGAGAGUCUAGUUUUGUUUGUAAGGUCAAACGGUAAAAAAUGCUGGAAAUGCAGACUCUGUAAAGCACAACAAAUUUUUGGCUUGCUCUUAUAGUGUCUGGUGGUGGACAGGACUUGACUGGAGAUGCAUGGUGAAGGAACCAUCUGCUAACAUUUCAGUACACAUGAAAUUCUGUGUAUUGGAAUUUUUCUACCGCGGUUUGUAUCUCACAGCCUCAAAAAUGAAGACAACAUGAAUAUAUUCAGUAACAGACAAUUUGAUAUGUUGAUAAUUAGGAAAAAUUCAAAUACUGACUGAAAAUAUGUUUAGUAUGUCUAGACCUGUAUGUCUAUUCUAACCUGUAGCCAAGCUUUGCAAGAUAGUCAGCUUGUAAUUUGUAACUUUUUAAUUGUGAUGGGUUUGACUUUAUAGGAGGACAGGCAGGCUGCAAACAGCAACAAGACAAGAUCAAAGCUAACCAUAGGGGAAAAACUGUUGAAUCUACAUAUCCCUGCCUUUGUCGAUCUACACUAAAUGAAGUGGCAUAAAAACCCAACCUCUGAAACAUUUUGGACAAUAUUAUCAAACCCAGUGCCUGGUAUGCAUGCAUAACACCUGGCAUUGUGGUGGAUAACCACGUAUUUCUUUCUGCCAACUCCAGCUAGCUGGGCUACCUGUAAGAGUCUGACCACAGCAGCUUGCAUGGAGAGGAGCAAGAUAAUCAACAGUUUUUCUGAAGAUAACAGGAGAAGCUCUUCUUUUAACCAGAACUGUCCCUAUCGCAUCGCAUCACAUGCUUCCAGUUACCCUUUGCUGCAGUACCACAGCCAAGGAGGCAGCUGGCUUCCUUACUGAUAAAGCACAGUCACGUGCAGACGAUCAGGCCAGUAUUUCAUCCAUCCCCCUCCCAGCUCAGCUUCUGCUCUUCUGAUCUGGGAGUUCAGCUCUUCCUCCUGCAGCAACAACCUCCACUUUUACAGCUGGUUUCAAUGAAUUUGGGAUAGAUGCCAAUGAGCAUGGGAGAGUCUGCAGUGGUGUUUGGGCAAUCCAAGUUCUCAUCCACCUUUUGCAAUUCAAUCACCAGAGAACCUUGUGAGUAAAAUUCAUGUAGUGAAAUAGUAUUUAGGUUGUAUUUGUGUUUAAUGUGACUGCGGCUAGCUUGGCCUCUGCUAAAAUCAUGGACCAACCUUUCUGUUAUGUUUCAGUGCAGUCUGAUAAUAAUCACACUCUAUGGUAUGUAAUAUGUAAUCUUUAUAAAAAUAAUAAUAAAAAAAAGUCCGUUAGCUGUUAGAUAUCAUUUGUCAUCUUUUGUAGUCAGCUGCAUCUGUUGGAGGUUGUGGGUUCUGGGGGCUGCCACCCAAAUGUGCAGCCCCUCCUGCCUUCCCCUUCCUAAUCACACCUGCAUCUGGCUGUGGGAUUUUUUUUUUUGGCAUUUCUGUGCAUUGCAUCAGCUUUCUAAAUGUUGUGAAGUUUUUUUGUUGUUGUUGUUUGUUUGUUUUGGGGGGAGUGUAUCUGCCUUUCCUAGGUCCCCUUUGCAAAAUAUUUUUAACCUGCCAACUCUGCGAAGCAAACUAUACAGAGCUUGAAAUGCUCUGGAAUUCUCUGUCUGGUCUCCCCUCCAAACAUCAGCAGCCUAUGGAUCCACCUCAGUGGAAAGACCUGUUCCAGCCACUGGGAUCAAUGCGUGUGCUAUUUCUGGUACCAAAAGCAGUAGUAGGGUAGAAGCAGGGUAUGAGGAAUGAUGGAUGCUUGCUGUGAUCCAUUUUAUUUUCUGGAUCCUUUGGGAAAAAAACAACUGCCUACCCAUCUCCUUCUUAUCCCUUAGUAGUGCCACUGAUCAUUCAUGCCUGAGUGUCCGACUUUGAACUGGUUCCUACUGAGUUUCAUUGCUCAAAGCAUUGCUCCAAGUGUUGAGAGUAUAGUGAAUUCAAACCAUCUUCCACGAUACUCGCAGUCUUUGCAGUUUUGCACUAUCAGCAAUUUUCAUACAUGCAUUUUCUAUUCCAUCAUCCAUACUUUUAGUGAAAACUUUAAACAAACCCAUAGGUAGGGUAGACCCCUGUAGCCACCUUUCUGUCUUGACAAGGAAUGAAGCCACAUUGUACUGACCCUGUAGGAAUUUCAGCUAGAUUGUUUAUGAGAAUGCAUCAUGAGACAAAAAUUUUACUCAAGUCCAGAUAUCUGGUGUCUACUACUUUUUGCUUAUUUAUGAAUCUUCUAAGCCAUUCAUAGAAAGAAUUUUGAUUGUUAUUUUUAGCUGAUACAAUUUCAUCCCAAUGAAUACAUGGUAGCUGCUAUUCCUCUUCUUGUUAUUUUCCAAAUGCUCAAAAAUAACUUUUUAUACACUCUGAACUAAAGAUGACUGGCCUUUAAUUUGUUACUUGCCAGGACCAAAUCCAUCAGAUCCCACUCCUCACUGAUGGUAUUAAAGACACUUGCCUUACGUUAACCCAGUAGAAAAACUGGAAGUGAUUUACGUAAUGAACAUACAGCCAGCACAAGUACGUGCUCUCCGUGAAGGAGCAUCUGACUAGCAGAGAAGCAUCUGAUCUUUGCCUAACGCUUCAAAAUCCAUUGGAGGGAAAAGAAAAAAAAAAAAAAGAAGAAAAAAAAAAAAAGACCUGAAAACAAAGAGCAGUUCCUUUAUGUGUGUAUAGAAGGUAGAAGCAGACCCGAGAAAGACCCCCUGCAGGUAGAUAACUCUGGUCUGCCAGUGAAUCACUGAUAAAUAUUUUCUGAGUACAGUUAUACAACAGUCUAGCACCAACCUUACAGAAUUUUCAACUGCUUUGCUUAUGGGAAUGUUGUGUGAGAGAAAAGCCCUACUGAAUUGGUGCUUUCUUUAGUGCUUUUUUUCCUCUCCAAGUAUCUUCUUACCCAAACAAAGCUUUUGAUUGUUUUGAUAAGAUUUUUUUUUUCAGAUAAAUUUUUGUUGCCAAUUGCUAAUCACUUUGACGCUACUGUAGGGAAAAAAAAAAAAAAAGAUAAAGAAAUUGAAAUGUCCGCAAAGAUUUGGAAAGUAUUUAAAUGUGUAUGUAUGUGUGUUUUUCUUAAGUAAAAACAAAGUUUAAGAUUCCCUUUAAUUUAACAGAAGAACACUAUCUACCAGAAAAUGCAUGGUUUGGCAGUGAGAUGCAAAGCAGUUUUCCCUGAAGUCAGCAGAUAAGAUGGGUGGUGUUUGUUCUUUCUGGCUCCUCAGUUAGAUUAGAAGGAAGCUCUGUGAAUUUGGUGUUGCACCUCAGGGUGUUUUUCUGGGAAGAAAAGUUGUGAUUCUUGGCUAAAAAUCCCUUCUCCUUUGCCUAUAUGCUGGGAAGUGUCAAUUUUGGGGGUCCUUCUUACGCUGCUAGACCAACAUUAGCUUUAUAUUGUGCUCAAAAAUCUUUGUGGGUGUAUGGAACCACAGAAACAUUCAGGUUGGAAAAGACCUUCAAGAUCACCAAGUCCAACUGUCAACCUGACCUACCAAGUCCCAUCCCUAAGCUGUGUCCCUCAGUGCCAUGUCUACACGUCUCUUAAAAUACCUCCAGGGAUGGAAACUCCACAGCUUCCCUGGGCAGCCCAACGCUUGACCACCCUCUCUGUGAAGAAAUUCUUCCUGAUAUCCAGUCUAAACCUCCCCUGGUGCAACUCGAGACCACUCACUGUGUUGCAAAAGUUUCCAGCACCUCUCCUGGGAAAAUCUGCCCUCAGGAUGUGGUAGAUUUACUUACUCAACACAGCUAUGUGCCAGCAGCGUCAAUACUCAUGGGACCCUGAGUAGAGCCAUAACAGACACCCUCUCUUUUCCCACUCCCAUGCUAGGUGGCUUGUGCUGCUGUUCAUCUCCCUACCAACAGUCUUGUCCCUCCCUGGUUUUCAGUCUGGACAAAAAAUUAAAUAAGCAUGGGCUAUAAAACAAUUAUUUUUGCAGUGACUUGAGCUUGUAUGGUCGUUAAGCAAAACUAUUGCUAGCUCAAAUGGAUAAAAGCUUCCAACAAGCCCAUCUCUCCUAAUCCCACCUUGGGCAGCCCUCCUUAUAAAAGAAUAUAAAAAAAAUGUAAAAACACCCAUUGGGUCGGACUCUGCGGUCAUUUACAGCCUGGUAGCCAUAUCGAGGGUGGAGGGAUGGCAGCUUUAUCAGCACAUUAUCUCUUGUGGUCUGGAAUAGGCUCUUCCCUUAUUCUUCAAACAGGAUUUUCUUGUUACUGUGUGGGGGCUGGAAGGUUUAACUGCAGUCUGACUCUUCCUGCUGCUAUGAUUGUAAUUGACUCCCGGGAAUCUUCACGGAUAUUGAGUAAGGAUGCAUAAACCUGCUAGGGAGAAUAGUCUUCCUAAGGGACUGCUUUCGUCAUCCCAAAACGGUAAAGCAAGCAACCCCCUGCCAACCCUUUAAAUUAAAAAACAGUUUCUGACCUAAUCCUAUUUUGUAUCUCAUAAGAAGAUUAAAAGAAUUAAAGAGGAACAAAGUGACCUGUUUAGUCCAUUUAAUAUUAAGCGUAUGACACACAGCUUCAUCUUACAAAAGGCCAGAAUAAGCAGGAGGACAUCCUUACACACCUGUUAUGCUGCUCGUGAGGACUUCCAAGGUGCAAUGCCCUGUCCGCAUCCACCUUCAGAGGAUCUCUGAAGCUUUGUGGUUGCAUUCUCGUGCCACCAUCCACAGUUCUUGGGG